AUGGGGACGCCCUCCUGCAGUUACUUCCCUGGGAUUGAGUGUACGUUGGCCGCUGAAGCAACAGUGGAGAACCAAGACGAUUCUGCCCUGGAAGUCAUUGCGCUUAAAUCAAGGAAACACAAACAGUACAGUGGCAAAGUGAACGUGGCUUGUUUGGCACAGACUUUCUACUCUAAGAAUGUCAGCCUUGAUGUACCCAAGGGCAGCACUGUAUAUGACCUGAAGGCACCUCUUGUCACAUCAGAGGGGAUGUACAGUACUAUGAAGGUAGUUGUGGUGGAACCAGAUACAGCGGUGACCUGCAAGGCUAUGCACAAGGGCAACAAGACUGCAGCCAGCACAACCCUUCCAGCAGAAAAGAAAUCUGAAGAACUGGUAACAGUGAAUGCUUGCAACGUUACAGACACCUCUUCAAAAGCAGGUAUCAAAAUGGAGAAAGUGAACAUGCUGUUCAUGACUGCAUUGGGUUUGAGAGUCCUGCUGGCAAAAAGCAUCGCCUUCAAUAUACUCAUGAGUAUCAGGCUGCUUCUCUUCUGAGGCAGGGAACACACCCUUCAGUCCCUGGGAACAUAAGAG
RNAcentral lists this long non-coding RNA (576 nucleotides) under Struthio camelus australis. Its description in RNAcentral is "lncRNA (ENSSCUG00000005205.1)". Lineage: Eukaryota; Metazoa; Chordata; Aves; Struthioniformes; Struthionidae. The record is from RNAcentral.